AGCUAACAAUUUUUUCCGAGGGCUCUGAUGUCCGAUUUUUUGUCGAGAUUUUCAGACGUUUCUUCAGAAAAGUUUCCGAGUAAUCUGCACAUACUCGUUUCUUUUGUUUUGUUUGAACAAAACAAAGCAAAAGAGAAAAAAAAACAUCGUAUACAGAGAGUUAACUCUUUUUUGGCGAGAAUUUCUAAUGUUACUCCAGAAAAGUUUCCGAGUAAUCUGCACAUACUCGUUUCUUUUGUUUUGAAAAAAAAAACACAAAAAUUCUGACAUUAGCAGAGAGUUAACUUUUUUCUGUUGAGAUUUAUUUUACCGUUCCUUUCGAAAAGUUUCCGAGUACUCUGCACAUGCUCGGUUGAAAUUAUUUGAAGAAUUUUGUGUAUACAACUUUUUUGUUUUUUUUGAUUAUGAUCAGUUUGUCGUCAAAAUUUGUACGGAGCACGAGUGCAGUGUGUUGCAGUGAAAAGUUAAAAUGAAAAUUAAAGGAAGAUUUGGACCUUCAGUACCUUAUGCUACGCCGUUUAAAAAAUCAACGCCAUGACAAUGUAAACACUUUUACAUAUGAAAAUUUUAGACUUAUUUUUCAAACUGGCGAGGUCAACGUUUUCGUGGCACGAAAUGUACCAAAAUACAGCUGUAAAGGACAUCUAAUUUAUUAGGCUCGUUAAAGAUGCGGCAUUGGAACAUAUUCCGGAAACUAUGGGAAGUGCCAUAUAAACCCAUAUAAAACAUUUCUUCAAAUCGGCUAAAGAUAGGCUUAACAAACCUUAACCUGGGCCAAAAUCGAACUCAGUCAACCUUAAACUCCUUUGUUCAUCUGAGAAUAAGCCAGCCGAUGACUUGAGCCAGCCAAAUAUGCGCUUUAUAUAUUUCCACCCUUAAUUAUAUUGAUUUACAUUGAAUUGCAACUUUUUAUGUUUUUUAUAUAUUAAUUUCCGUAUUCCUUAUAUUUUACAAAAAAAAAAAAAAAACUGAAUACAAAUGUUCUGUCAUUAAAUUGAAAAAUACAAACAUAAACAAUUAUCUAAAAACUAGAUAAAGUUUUAUUAUUUCUUUAUGUUUUUCGAUUACAACUAUAAAAUAAAUGUAGAUUUUUUUGCGAAUUUCGUAUCAAACAUCCUAUUAUUUUCCGAUUUUCGAAUGAAUUAUUCGAAUUUUUCCCGAUUUUCGGAUAAAACUAUAGAAUAAAUUCAGAUUUUUUUCCGAAUUUCGAAUCAAACAUCCGAAAAUUUUCAGAAUUUCGUAUCAAACAUCCUAUUAUUUUCCGAUUUUCGAAUGAAUUAUUCGAAUUUUUCCCGAUUUUCGGAUAAAACUAUAGAAUAAAUUCAGAUUUUUUUUCCGAAUUUCGUAUCAAACAUCCGAAAUUUUUCCGAAUUUCGUAUCAAACAUCCUAUAUUUCUCCGAAUUUUCCUUUUUUCUUUGCCGAAUUCUAUACGAAUUCGCCCCGAAACUCUUACGUUCUUUCAGAAUUUUUUCCGCAAAAUCUUUCAGAAUCUUGGGCAAUCUCACACAAUUUUUUUCCGAUUUCUUUCCGAAUUCGACAUCAGAGUCGGAAACUUGUGCAGAGUUUUUUUCCGAAUUCGGAAGAAAAUCGGAAAAAAAUGUUUGCUGGGUAUUUAC
Musca domestica (house fly) is the source of this 1617-nucleotide long non-coding RNA. RefSeq lists it as uncharacterized. The record is from RefSeq and is a predicted model, not a curated record. The transcript is spliced from 3 exons. NCBI's taxonomy places the organism in Eukaryota, Metazoa, Arthropoda, Insecta, Diptera, Muscidae.